RNAcentral lists this ribosomal RNA (254 nucleotides) under uncultured bacterium. RNAcentral's name for it is "partial 16S ribosomal RNA". It matches the Rfam family "Bacterial small subunit ribosomal RNA", at positions 524 to 776 of the family's 1533-position model. The record is from RNAcentral.
GACGAACUGCCCGAACGUUGUUCGGAAUCACUGGGCUUAAAGGGCGCGUAGGCGGCAUUCCGAGUCGGGGGUGAAAUCCGGGCAGCUCAACUGUCGAAGUGCCUUCGAUACUGGAAUGCUCGAGGGAGGUAGGGGUCGAUGGAACUUCCGGUGGAGCGGUGAAAUGCGUUGAUAUCGGAAGGAACGCCGGUGGCGAAAGCGAUCGACUGGACCUCUUCUGACGCUGAGGCGCGAAAGCCAGGGGAGCGAACGGG